Unclassified non-coding RNA from Pongo abelii (Sumatran orangutan), 148 nucleotides. It matches the Rfam family "Metazoan signal recognition particle RNA". From Rfam's summary of the family: The signal recognition particle (SRP) is a universally conserved ribonucleoprotein. NCBI's taxonomy places the organism in Eukaryota, Metazoa, Chordata, Mammalia, Primates, Hominidae. The record is from Ensembl.
GCUGGGCAUGGUGGUGCAUGCCUGUAAUCCCAGCUACGCGGGAGGCUGAGGCAGGAGAAUUGCUUGAACCCAGGAGGCAGAGACUGCAGUGAGCCAAGAUUGUACCACUGCACUAUAGCCUGGGUGACAGAGCAAGACUCUGUCUCCA